UGACUUUUUACGAUGAAGCUGCAUUUUGGACAUAUAAGUGGAGAUGUUAAGUACGUAGUUGGUAGUAUGAGUCUAGAGUUCAGGCGAGAGAUUCUAGCUGAAGAUAAAAAUUUGGGAGCAUAUGGAUGGUAUUUAAAACCAUAAGACAAUGAGGUCAUCAAGGGAGUGAGUGUAGAUAGAAGGGGUCAAGUUCCAAGGCCUGGAGCUCCCUAACACUGACAGAUCAAGGAGAAGAAGAGGAAUCGGGGAAGGUGACAGCCAUCAGGUGUUCUGAUGGUACCUUCUAUCAUGGCAAAAAGGCGGAGGGCAUAGGCCCUAUGGGUGGAAGGUUUAAGGCACCAACUCCCCAGCCAUUGGUUUAAAUGAUCCAGUGGUGGGGUGGUGGAGACCAGGGAGGUGGGUUUGAAACAGUUUCUGACCACACCCAUAGAGCCUUCAGUGUGCUACCUGCUUUACCUAGUUCACCCUCUUCUCAGCCACGUGGCCUUCUUGGGGUUCCUGGUUCAGUGUGAGUUUUGGACAAAUCUCCCAGCUUGGGGCAGUUCAGCUCAUCUUGGCACCACACUCUCCCAAGGAGCCCGCUCAGCCUUCAUGCUCCCUGGUCUGAUCAAAUCCAUGCCGCAGGGGUGGGAGAUCUUGGGUGGAGGGCACUUUAGCCAUCGAGGCAGGUAAGGCAGCAGCGAGGCCAGGAAAGUCAACCAAGGCCAUGGUAGGAGUGGGAGUACCAGGGAGUAAACGGUUGUGGAGAGCAUCUCGAUUAGAUGCUUAAUAAAUGUUUGUUGAAUGGAUGAAUGUGAGUAUCAGGAGCUGUGUCCCUGGGGCUGAGCGUGACUGGUGUGCCCGUCAUCCGCGUGUGUGUGUGUGUGAGAGAGCGAGAGCUAUGGCUCUGUGUCCACGUCUGUGCCUGAUGUGUCUCCCCUCCCAGGCCUGCAGAGGGCGCACCAGCCUGGGAAGGGAGGCUCGAGUGGGCGCCGCUCUGUCUGAGGGGUGGGUGGGCGCUGGCGGGUGGGGGGUGCUCUAGCAAGGGCGGGAUGCGGCCCUGACCCGGCGGGCUGCUCAGAGAGACUGAGAAGGGCGUUGGGCCCAAAGUCCGUGGGCCUGGCACGGCCUCUGGUGCUGUACCCGCUCCAGGCCCCAGCUGGUCCCGAGGCCGAAGGUCCGGCCCCGGGUCCCAGCGCGCGGGUCCCGGCACACGGGCGGAACGUGCAGAAGGGAGACUCGGGUUGCGGGUGGGACCCGCAGCUCCAGGACCCGGGGUCGGCGUGGGCUCGGGAAGCGCCCGGGCGGCGAUUACCCAGGGCUGAGCACAGCGGCUGUCCCGCCAAAUCUCUGCCACUCGGGCCCCUGAAUCCGCGGGUACUCGGCUGGGCAGGCUGGGACGCAUGGGCGGCCGGAGGCCGGUGUUUUUCCGUUGAAACCAUAGGCUUUCAAGGUUUAUUGAAAGCCUAACUGUGUGCCCGGCGCGACGCUCGCUCGGUGCCGGAGGAUGAAGUGCUUUCACCUGGACAGGGACGGAAAACGAGUUUGUCCUGCUCAUCAGUGGACAUGGGAAAAUUCUAGACCCCUGGUCUAGCAUGAGACACAUUUGAGGACAAAUAAUAAAGGGGGGGAAAAAAAUCCCAGAAAGAUGAAGGAAAUGAGAACAGUAGUGAUCAACCCACAAGCCUGUUUGCCUUUGGAGGACGGAGGACCGCGACGACGAUGCUGCCUCCUAGUGGCGGAGUCGGGCAAUGAGGCCAAGUGGAGUUUAACAUCCCGUCCGCUGUGGGUAUGCUGAACCGAAACGGCUGCUCAGGCCAGCCUGGAUGUAGACGGUAAGGAAGGGGACGCAGAGACUCGGAUGGCCACACAUCUGACCUGUGAGUAUCCCCCUAAGUGUUCCAGUCUGUUGGGUGAAGGCUUUGGCUUGGUGUGAACUCUCGAGAGAGCCCAGGUAGUGUUUGACAGUACCUGCGGUGGCCGAGGUACAGAGGACCGCUACACCGGAGGCCCUGGUGCCGAGGGUGAGAGGUGAGGGAGGUGCACGUGGCUCACUUCAGCUUUACCUCUGCGGAUGAGCGCAGAGUGAACGCACCCUAACGCCAGGUUGAGACCCUGGAGCCGGGGAGAGGGGUGUGCUCACCCACCCCUACUCACCCCCAGUGUCGGCAGACCCACUACCUCUUUAGGACGGGCACCUGGGCCUGGCUCCGGGGUGGAGGUCCUAGGUGCGGGUGUUGCAGGAGUCUGGAAUUGCCCACAUUGGGAAGAGGCCACAUUCCCUUCAGCUCCAGGCCUCAGGCCCAUUUGUGCCUGUCUGGUGGGGCUUUCAGGGCAACAGAUGCUCCCAGCUUGGCAGGCAGGAGCCGGGGAGGGGUAUGGCAGGAAUUUCAGCUCAGAAGCUGGGCUAGAACAGGGCUUGGGGUGAGCUGGGCCCCUGUACGCUUGUAUGUGAAACAAGGGUCAAAGGGCCUGGGUGCCGUGGUGCUCCUGGGUUCCCAGCUGAGCACUGAGCCCACCAGGGACAAGCUGCCCUGAUGACUGUGCAGCUGUUACUGAGGGAGCUACUGCUUCCUGGACUGCAGAUGACCCAUUACCUUCAGAAGUGUGUGAUAUUUGUGUGCCCAGCGUAGUUGCAGACAUUACUCAAUGUGUGGCUGCCUAGGGACAGGGUUAGAGUUAGGACUAUGCUUGGAACAGCACUGACAUAGUGGUUACGGAUUGGAGGUAGGUAGUGGUAAGCAUAGGGCUGGAAUCACGGUGAUGUUAAAGUAGGAUUUGGAAUUGCGUUUAUGGUUCCUGUUGAUAAGAGCUAGUGCAUCUUGUAGAUAUCACCUAUAGUAGCUGGAGAAUCUGUGUAUCUACAUGGUGAGAAUUGAAAGGGUCUAUAAAAGUCUGCUUUCUUCUCCAGCGCUCUGAAGUGUGGGUGGAGUAGGGGUGUCCUAUCUGAGUUGAUCUGGCACCAUUUCCCUGUUAAAAAAGAAAUGACAGGCCCAAAAUGGAGUCACUUAUGGUAAAAGGAAGACUUAAUACCUGACCUUAUUGAAGUUACAGCCUUCUCCAAGAAUGUAAUCCAAACUGAUCAGUGUGGAAAUUUCUGGUCCGCACCAGUGAGGUAAUCCUUUCCAUCCCCCAAAGGAAGAUGAGGUAACCUGGCACAUAGAUCCCUUCAUCCCCUAUAGAUAGAUUACCUAACCCUGAAAUAAUCUUUUUUUGUUUUUGACUUCCUUGUCAUACUCUUAAAAACCUUUCUUUUUCUAUAGCCUUUUAGAGCUCCCCUCUACUUGCUAAACGGGAUGCUGCCCAAUUCAUGAACUGUUCAGUAAAGCUAACUCGAUGUUUAAAAAAAAAAGAGCUAGUGCAUCUUAGAUUAGGAUUGUGUUAGGGUUGGAGUAGGAUACUGUUUGAGUUUAAAAUUGGGAUCAAAAUGGGUCAAGGAGAUAAAUUUUGUGUUGGGGGUCAGUUUUAAGCUUCUGAGAUAGUCUGGAGAGGGACUUAACCUUAUGCGUAUUGUGUGAUAUUGAUCUGGUUUAGAUGAGAGCUUUUGGACAUUUUCUGGCCUUCUGCACUUGAGAGUUAUAAAUGGCCAUAUGAUCCCUGAAGCUGCGAUCGACUAGAGGGAAGUAGGCAUCUAGCUCCUGGGGAGAGGGAAUAUCGCAGUUUUCUAUCCUGAACUUACCUGGCCAUGUAAACAUCUUUUGGGUAAUACCCAGCAGCAUUACCUUUAUGAGGUACAGAUAUUCUGAGGGUCUCACUUAAAGGACUGGUUUUAGAGUUGUUUGUGAAUGGGGCUGGAGUUGAGGUUAGGGUUAGGGUUGAAAGGCAUGGACUGCAGUUGAAGUUUGGGGUAGAGCGACACAUGUGGUCAUGCCCUGUAUCAAGGGCUCCUUCCUGACGAGUCAGGAGCUGGUUCUUCACAGUUUCCUGAGGGGGAUUUUGACAGAGUAGGUCUGUCUGGCUUACUCUUCCUUUAGAUUCUGUUUCUGCUGCAUCGGAGAGACUGAGGGUCAGGAGCCUGCGGUAAACUGGGGACACUCCCCGGGGUAGGGAUGGGAGUGUAGGUGAAGGACGGGGCUGCUGAAGAGGGCAGGGGACUGACUUGCUGACCGUGGUGUUCCUUUAAAAGCACACAGCCAAGCUGUUGAGACCAGGGGUGUGUGCGUGGAUCCAAGACUGUCCUUAUUAAAGGACAGGCAAUGGGACAUAAAUUACUAACCAGAGUUUAGAGGUGAAUAAACAGACCUGGCCUGAGGUGGCCUAGAAGUUUUAUCGGGGAGAAAGGCUGGAAGGAUGGAUUGGGAAUGCAUUUGUGUUUGUGGGCCUGCAAGAUGGGCUGUGUCUGUCUGCAUGUGUGUGGUGCCAGAGUCGGCUGGAGCAUGUCUGACUCAGGGUAUUCAUGAGUCUAUGUAGGUGUGUUUCCUGAACAUGUCUCUGGGUACUCUGAGUUAGCUUCUGAGUGGCAUUGUUGACUUUAUGUCCUCCUGUGUAUGUGUCUGUGUGGCUAGGUGUCUGUACACAUGUGUCUUUGACUGUGUGUGAGACUCUGCUCUGGCCUCUCACUUUCCCCUGACCCUCUCCCCUGAUGCGCCCCAGCUGCCAAGAGUAUUUACUGCAAGAGAUUGGCUUCCUUUCCCUUCCCACUGUCUGGAUUCCCAUGUGUCCGGCUGCCUGCCCAGGGCCCUGCCCCUGAGGCCUCUGUGUGGGGCUUGACCUUGGGAGUGAUACACUCUGGAAAGCCCCCGAUAUGCUCUUUGCCCGGCUGUGGACCCAGAGAAGUUACAGUGGAGGAGGGGGACAAGGCGGGAAAGGGGGGCAGUUGGCAGCAUGCACCCCUCCUUCUGGAAACAGAGAUCUCCUUCAGGCCCCCUCUUUCCUCCCCACGCUCUCAUCCAGAUCAAGUAUUCAGGGUCCUGGCCUCACUGUCUGUGCGCAUGGGAAUGGACAGUCCUCCACAAGCCCCGUUAGGCAUCUGGUCCUCUGCGUCCCCCAGCACCUUACAGGCCUGCCUUGUGCUCAUUCCUCACAUCCCCACCCACCCUCACGGCUGUCCUCCCUUAUUUCCUGUCCCUGCCGUAGACACAGGAACCACUCUUGUCCUUCAUUCUGUGACAGCCCAGGCCUGUGCCGUGGAGCAGGUGGAGCAGCAGGCUUUGGAUGAAUGGUGAGGAGCAGAGGCUCAGCCCCUCUCACAGGUGCAGGAAGCAGCAGCGCCUUGGGGUUUACUCCUGUGCGCAUCCUGUGGUUGUUGCCUUCCCUGCGUGGGCUGCAGUGAGGAGGUACAGUAACAAAGCAGCCACGGUCCCUAUUUGCUGGGACUUGGUGUUUAACAAGAGAAGUGAUUUUGUGGAGAAGCCAUUCUCCCGCACUGCAGGCACUCAGUUGCCUGAAAUGCUCUCUGUAGAAUUCUGAAAUGUCUCUGCAGAGCCCAGGAGAAGGGCUCCAGAAGGUCAGAGCCAUUCGCCACGACAGUAUGGUAUCUCAGAGGGCCGAGGCGAACUCUAAAGUUCCCAAGCAAGCAUUGCUCUAUCCCUAGCAUCUACCAGCAAUUCUGGAGCAGUGAAUACCUGAUUUUGUGCCCUGCUGUGAGAGUUUUCAUUCUGAUUUUACUUCUUGAGCCGAGGGGGAGCUGGAAGGUGGGGCUUGUGCUAGGGUUAUAGGAUGGGAUGAGCAAGGCUUCAUCCUUCUACAACAUCCUGCAUGAACAUAGGCUCUGACCCUGUCUUCUCUCAGCUCUUGAUUUUGCUGAGAACUGAGAAUCCUGAAGGUCUUGGUUCCAGCUCAUCUCUGUGCCCCUAGCCCUUUGUUGCAAAACUUGGUCAGCAGGAUAAGCCAAUGCCGGCACGUGGCAGGUGGGAUACAUGGGAAGGACCCGCUCCACCUAAGGCAGGAUGUGUGUACAUUAACCUCAGCUUCCCACGUGAUGCUGCUGUGACCCUUCUGAGUCAAUUCCCUUCAUUCCGGGCCUCCCUCUCCUCUCCUUGCUCUGUGGCUCUCUGCCCAGCUCUCACCAGGCAUGGAGGAUGUGCCUGCCACAGGACCCCCUAUGAUCUUUGGGGAUGCUUUAGGAAAACACUGGAGGGUGUGGCUCAGCAGGCCUGGGCCUUGUGCCUCCUCACCUUGGGGGGCCACAGCAGGGCCUGAACUCCCAUCUGUUAGGUACAGAAUCACCCUUCAGAGGAGGGACACAGUCAUGCUUCUUCGCAUCCUGGCUUUUCUGCAUCCUGCUAGCAGGACACAUUGUGCUAAGUGCUGGGUCCUAUCAGAGGAAGAGUCCUGCCCCACCUCCUGAUUUGAUGGUAUGUUGAGCCAUCCUGGAUUUCCUUAGGAAUCAGUGAGGCAGGGGCAUCCCACAGUCCCCCAUACCACACCACGAGGAAGCUACAGCACUUCCUGCCCUUCCUGCAGCUUUUGGCUCCUCUGUGGUAGGUCAGAAGGUGGAAAUGCAGACGUGCCACCUUCUGAGAGAAAUGAAGUGUCCAAAACAGAGGUCCCUUCCAUCCACUCAGGGCAGCCUCUUUGUCUUUCUGCUUCCCAGUUCUCUCCUCCUACCCUCAGACAUCCGCAGUCUCUGGAUGGACACUAGGAUGCCACACCUGCCCUUUUUCUCUGUCUCAAGCCCCAUCCUCUUCAUGCUCUGUGCAUCUAGAGCUUUUUCUGACAUCUCUCCCCCUAUAUUCCAAGACCACCCUCUUCACACAUGUGAUCACCAACUUCAACUAUUUUUUUUUUGCCCACCUGGGCUCACAUGCUGCUACUGACUUCUUAGGCCCUAAAAAACCUCUUGCCAUGGUAACUUCCAGCAUUUCUCUUCAUCUCUGGCUUUGGCUUUCUGUAUCAGCCCUCCCCCCAGCCACGAUCCUUCCCAGUUCCUCAUUCACCCCUUUAGGUAUUUGCCCUGUUCUCUUUUUUUUUUGCACUACA
Molecule: non-coding RNA, 6900 nt
Organism: Delphinapterus leucas (beluga whale)
Lineage: Eukaryota; Metazoa; Chordata; Mammalia; Artiodactyla; Monodontidae
Source: RefSeq, a predicted model, not a curated record